Molecule: long non-coding RNA, 863 nt
Filed under: Helianthus annuus (common sunflower)
Lineage: Eukaryota; Viridiplantae; Streptophyta; Magnoliopsida; Asterales; Asteraceae
Source: RNAcentral
AAACUAUGGUAGAAGGUGGUGGUGGUUGCCGCAAAUCUGCUCUAUUCAUCACUAAGUCAUCAUUUAUAAUCGAAGAUACGGAGACACGUGGCAAAACACAAAAACUGUAAGCAGGAAAUGUUGGGAAGUUUUGGAGACCCAUCGAAGAACCUUUUUCUUAUUUGCACAACUGAAGGAAUCAAGUGGGAUAAAGGCGCCUCUUUUGUAAUUAAUAUUAAACAAUAUGCAGCCAGUAAACAAUGCUAGUCUUUUGCAACAACUCAGGUUUUACAUCCUGUUUAUUCUAGGUGUAUAUUAUAAGGUGCAGUGGUUAUAAAGAGGGCGAAAACAGUGAUGCUUCUGAUGCUUGAGUUUAAGCGCAAAUUGAUCGAAUUAUUAAGAUAUUUAUUAGGAAAGGGGAUUAUUGUAGAUAUAUGGCAGAAUUUAAGUCUGGUAAUGACAAGAAAGAGGUUGCAGAUCUUUCAAUGAAAGCGUAUGAGGGCAUGUCACCUAGCCAAACAGGCAUUUGAUGAAGAGAUUUCCGAGCUUGAUACUAUGAAUGAGGAGUCAUACAAAGACAGUACAUUACUUAUGCAACUGCUAAGGGAUAAUCUCACCUUGUAGCCUCUGAUAUUUCCGAGGAAGGAGAUGAUUCACACAAGCAAGAUGGAGCUACUAAAACUGGUGGCGAGAUCGAGAAUGCAGAGGUAGUGAACGUGUAAUUAUGUAUUAAUCAUAAGUAGUUUUUAAUACAAGUAAUUUUCUCGAGCCAGGGAAGCAAUCCCGGGUGAUAACCUAGUUAUAUUAAUAAAUGACGAUUAUGCCCUUUUCACACAUAAAUUGGGUUUUAAAUAAGAAUAACAUGCAAGAACCUUUUGGUACUG